RNAcentral lists this non-coding RNA (29 nucleotides) under Homo sapiens (human). The record is from RNAcentral. Lineage: Eukaryota; Metazoa; Chordata; Mammalia; Primates; Hominidae.
UGUUCACAGGAUCUCUGGGGUGUCAAUUU